RNAcentral lists this ribosomal RNA (460 nucleotides) under uncultured bacterium. RNAcentral's name for it is "partial 16S ribosomal RNA". It matches the Rfam family "Bacterial small subunit ribosomal RNA", at positions 338 to 795 of the family's 1533-position model. The record is from RNAcentral.
CCUACGGGGCGCAGCAGUGAGGAAUAUUGGUCAAUGGGCGGGAGCCUGAACCAGCCAAGUCGCGUGAGGGAAGACGGUCCUAUGGAUUGUAAACCUCUUUAGGCGGGGAGCAAUGCCGGGCACGCGUGCCCGGUGGGAGAGUACCCGCAGAAUAAGCAUCGGCUAACUCCGUGCUAGCAGCCGCGGUAAUACGGGGGAUGCGAGCGUUAUCCGGCUUUAUGGGGUUAAAAGGGUGCGUAGGCGGAUUUUUAAGUCAGCGGUAAAAUGUCCGGGCUGAACCCGGGCCGGCCGUUGAAACUGGGGAUCUUGAGUGGGCGAGAGGUAUGCGGAAUGCGUGGUGUAGCGGUGAAAUGCAUAGAUAUCACGCAGAACUCCGAUUGCGAAGGCAGCAUACCGGCGCCCGACUGACGCUGAGGCGCGAAAGCGUGGGGAUCGAACAGGAUUAGAUACCCCAGUAGUC